Molecule: ribosomal RNA, 283 nt
Filed under: uncultured bacterium
Lineage: Bacteria
Description: partial 16S ribosomal RNA
Rfam family: Bacterial small subunit ribosomal RNA
Source: RNAcentral
UACGAAGGGGGCAAGCGUUGUUCGGAAUCACUGGGCGUAAAGCGCACGUAGGCGGAUUGUUAAGUUAGGGGUGAAAUCCCGGGGCUCAACCUCGGAACUGCCUCUGAUACUGGCAAUCUUGAGUUCGGGAGAGGAGUGUGGAACUCCGAGUGUAGAGGUGAAAUUCGUAGAUAUUCGGAAGAACACCAGAGGCAGGAAGGCCGGACACUCCUGGCCCCGAUACUGACGCUGAGGUAGCGAAAAGCGUGGGGAGCAAACAGGAUUAGAUACCCGUGUACGUCCC